RNAcentral lists this ribosomal RNA (400 nucleotides) under uncultured bacterium. RNAcentral describes it as "bacterial SSU rRNA". It matches the Rfam family "Bacterial small subunit ribosomal RNA", at positions 356 to 773 of the family's 1533-position model. The record is from RNAcentral.
GGGGAAUAUUGCACAAUGGGGGAAACCCUGAUGCAGCGACGCCGCGUGAGUGAAGAAGUAUUUCGGUAUGUAAAGCUCUAUCAGCAGGGACGAUAAUGACGGUACCUGACUAAGAAGCCCCGGCUAACUACGUGCCAGCAGCCGCGGUAAUACAUAGGGGGCAAGCGUUAUCCGGAUUUACUGGGUGUAAAGGGAGCGUAGACGGUAAUGUAAGUCAGAUGUGAAAACCCAGGGCUCAACCCUGGGACUGCAUUUGAAACUAUGUUACUAGAGUGCAGGAGAGGUAAGUGGAAUUCCUAGUGUAGCGGUGAAAUGCGUAGAUAUUAGGAGGAACACCAGUGGCGAAGGCGGCUUACUGGACUGUAACUGACGUUGAGGCUCGAAAGCGUGGGGAGCAAAC